GCACUAGAUAUUUUCAGUAAAUUUAGGACGGCAAUGUUGAACGCAAUGUUGCUGGCCACAUAUAGAAGGGGUAGCAAGGGAGCUCCUUCACACCCUGAAAGAGACAUCCACUAAUAUUUGAGAAUGCAAACAUUAAGGAAUGGGAGCACUUUGCUCACGAUCCAGUUCCUUACUCAAAGGUCGAUGUUCAAUUCCUAACAAUCUCAUCCUGGAGAUACCUUACCCUCAUUCUGUUCUCCAAAGAAAGAGCCCGUCUCAUUCGAAGAAAGUAAAGAAAGACCAUACCUUGCUUCCUUAAGCAUAUUACUCUAAAUAAAGUGACUACUGACUAGGUCAACAAAUGUGACGAACAAGGGAAUAAUUUUCUGUGGAAAACUGAGAAAAGUUGAUAUUACAUGCAUCUUUUUUAUCAACCACUUCCCAUUCUCCUUUCCUUUAUAUUUACUUGCUAAAACCAUUUUUUCACACGUGUUUAUAUAGUGUGAUAACCUCCAAACAGGAAAUCAGAAAAUUCUAGUAGGCAUAAAUCUAUGCUAGAAACAGGGGUAUAAAGUAAAAUAUACAUUUCAGACGAGAAAACUUGCCUGCGCUAUUAACUCCAAUGUUCAGAAAGCAUGCGCCUCCACUUGCAAAAUACUGUGGCAGUUGGUCGAAUGGUAUACCUUUGAGGUUUGAUAGUAAAGGGAGUAAAACAAGAACAAAAAGAGCCUAGAAACCGCAAAAAAAAAAAAUUGUCAGUUUUUUAAUUUUUAUCAUAUGGAAUAAGGAAGGAAGUUCAAUAAUUAGCAAUUGAUGAAAGGUUUACCUGACAGCCAGAUCCAAACGAGUUGACUACAAAUAUGUCAAGAGACUUCUCCUGCGUGCAGACAGAAUCAAUGUUUAUAUACCAUGCCCAAAAGAACAUAGGAAAAAAGAUGAAAUCCCAGAAGCCUUCUUUAUCAGAAGAAUGAUGCAAGUCAAGAAGAUUGUAUGAGAUAGUAAUGAUACCUUGAGACGUGCUGCAGCAUCAACAAAGAUAAACUCCUGUUCACAAAGAUCAUGCUUUUAGUUUGAGUCUAGCUAAAUGGCUAACUACUUCUCCGUCUAACACCCAAUGCAUUAACAUCAUUUUCCUUACUAAACCCAAGUUAGCUUAGAUACAUGGAGACAUUAUCGACGAUACACAAGGAGUUGGAUAGACAACUAGUUAGCUAUUGGUGUCUUUCCUUUUAAGUUUGAAGUAGUAAAUCUGUCAAACAUAUCAUAAGCUGUAAAUUAAUAAAUAACAAUAGAAUAAGACAAUAUCACCUUCAAGAUAGAUGCUGCAGCAUGGAAAGCACCUGAAGCAAUCAUUAGAGCUGGCCACACAAAUGCAACUCCUGAAAGAACUUGGUGACCAUCGGAACCACUGCAGCAAGAAAAAAAAUACAACGAUAUUACUCAGUUGAGGCUGCAACUGUUAACUAAUUAUUUUGACAUGAUUACAUUCAAGACUUCAGAAUUUUUAUUUCUAAUUCCAUGCUUCAGACAUCCCUAGCCCAACCCUAUGAAAAAAAAUAAACAAAAAAGGAAAGAAAAGAAAAGAAAAGAAGAGGAAAUAAAUUUGCCUUUGUACAGAGUGUCAUGUACAAGAAGUGAAUACAAUGUACAAGACAAACCAAAAUCAGCAAAUUCAAAAACAAUAAUCCUCUUGCAGAAAGCUAUUCAUUGACUGUCCUCACUAAAGAACCUGCCCCAAUGUAGCCUUUCCAAAGCCAGAGUUGUUGAUGCACAAAAUGUACACAAAGUACUACAUUUGGUACCCUAUGGAAGUUGUACUGUAUACACCUUCAGAAGUGUUAUUUCUUCCAUAUAGAGUUUAUGUUUGGGGAUCAGAAGAACAGUUCUUAGAACUUGAGAAGCUGUAGUUCAAUACGAGAACUGCGGAAAAUUUUGGAUCAGAAAUCGCUCAUUAAGGCUUGAUUGUAUCUCAUCAUGGAAACAGCAGUGGUGGAGCAAUUUAAUUAGUUUAUGUGCUAGAAAUAUAGAUGAAGACUUGAACAUGCCUAGAGACUGCAACGACAACACCAGCAGCUACAAGCAAGCAGCCGACUAUUUGCAUAAACGAAUAGCGCCUGCCUAAGACGACAAAAGAGAGAAGCAGCUGCCACACCAGAAAAGUCUGCAGGAGGGCUCAGAAGAAGGUGAUAUCAGAGAUCAAAUUUAGCAGAUAUUAAGAUCUUAUUUUGCUUAAAACAUAAUCAAAGAUUUAAAAAGGUAAUAAUUUGUAGUAGAUAUUAAUGUUUCUGCUUCAGACCAUAAUUAUAAGAAUUGUCUUUCAGGCAAAAAGAUGAUAUUCUAAUACCCCACAUUCCACAGACAUAUUGUAAUACAAAUCUUGCAGUGAGGAGGUGAGGAUCCAAGUCAUCCCACUAGGUGAUAUCCGCAAAAUCAAGGCCAAUCAAGUGAGGGAAGCAUACAACUCACUCAAUUUGUACUUUGUACUCAAAACAGAUUCCAUUAUUACAAAAAAUAAACCAGAACAAAGACAAAGGGAGCAGGAGUGACCUGAAAUUUCUAUGCCGACAUAUUCAUGGCAGAAUCUCUGCAAGAAUCUAAUAAAUACCUUCCAUUCUUACCAGUUGCACCCAAAAGGCCACACCUCAAGAAAAGGUAUUACUAACACAAGUGUGCAAGGAUAAUUUGAAGGAAAAAUGCAUAAUUGAGAGGUAAGAGUAAAAGCUGGGAGAGAAAAAAAAAAUAGUGAAUUAAUUACUCCUUCCGUCCACAACUAAACGUCCUGUAAACGAAAAAAACUGCAUACUGUUUUGGUUAUUCCACAACUAAACAUCCUGUUACCUUAAAAUGUAACAUAUACCCUCCCUACCCGGCCUACUCAACCCAUGUUAUGUGGACCCUUCCACAAUUAUCUUGUUUCCUCUCUCUCAAUUUUAUAUUUUCAGUUUUGCACUAUCCACCAAAAAAAGCAUAUACUCCCCCAUUUUUUCCCUCUUAAUAUUCAUGCAAAAUCCUAAGAGAACAUUUAUUUGCACAGAGGAAGUAAUAACUAAAGCAUGCUUAAAAUAAGUAAAAUAGUACAAGAAGCACUCAACUAAGUUAGCUUCAUGAAUAUUUUUAUACAACACCUCAAACAUGUCUGU
Beta vulgaris subsp. vulgaris (sugar beet) is the source of this 3119-nucleotide long non-coding RNA. RefSeq lists it as uncharacterized. The transcript has 2 exons. The record is from RefSeq and is a predicted model, not a curated record. Lineage: Eukaryota; Viridiplantae; Streptophyta; Magnoliopsida; Caryophyllales; Amaranthaceae.